UACAGAGGGGGCAAGCGUUGUUCGGAAUUACUGGGCGUAAAGGGCGCGUAGGCGGCCUUCUAAGUCGAACGUGAAAUCCCCGGGCUCAACCCGGGAACUGCGUCCGAUACUGGAAGGCUUGAAUCCGGGAGAGGGAUGCGGAAUUCCAGGUGUAGCGGUGAAAUGCGUAGAUAUCUGGAGGAACACCGGUGGCGAAGGCGGCUUCCUGGCCUGUUCUUGACGCUGAGGCGCGAAAGCUAGGGGAGCAAACGGG
Molecule: ribosomal RNA, 253 nt
Filed under: uncultured bacterium
Lineage: Bacteria
Description: partial 16S ribosomal RNA
Rfam family: Bacterial small subunit ribosomal RNA
Source: RNAcentral